ACUCUUCUUCCUUAAGAGAAGUUUCAAAGCAAGAUGUCACUCCAGUGAGGCAACAGAAGGAAAAGCAGACGAAGCCAACGAACAGAUGCAGCACAGAAAUCUUUAACCACAUGGUAAGAGCAUAUUCCCAGGUAGCAGAAGAGGCAGAAGCCACAAGGGAUCUGGAUGGUCAAGCACACGAGUGACAAGGCAAGGGCCGUGAACUGUCACCAAGGAAGAAGAGAGGAGCCUUCCUCAAACAACCACCAGAGAGUAGAAGACCCCCUAGCAACAGAGGGCGCAAGUGCAGAGUACACCCAGAAAUACCACGGACACAGAAGAAGAAAGAGUAUAAAAGACUGUGAGAAGGGGGAAACGGUGUGAGCCGUUGGCAGAGCGCUGACUCCCCGGCUACACCCAGUGCUGUUUGCUUGCCAUUGCUUGCUGUAACCAAUAAAUUUCUGAUUGACUCUCGAAA
This is a long non-coding RNA of Vidua chalybeata, 457 nucleotides long. RefSeq lists it as uncharacterized. NCBI's taxonomy places the organism in Eukaryota, Metazoa, Chordata, Aves, Passeriformes, Viduidae. The transcript has 3 exons. The record is from RefSeq and is a predicted model, not a curated record.